Molecule: long non-coding RNA, 778 nt
Organism: Hyaena hyaena (striped hyena)
Lineage: Eukaryota; Metazoa; Chordata; Mammalia; Carnivora; Hyaenidae
Exons: 2
Source: RefSeq, a predicted model, not a curated record
UAACUGGAGGCUUCUGGGGCUGCUCCGUCCAGUAGGCAGCCACAAGCCACGUGUGGCUAUUGAUCACUUGAAGAGUGGCAACCGAAGAACCGAAUUUUUCGUCUUAUUUAACUUCAAUUAAAUUUAAAAACAAGCCGUGUAAAAAUUUUCUGUAACACAACUUCGUCUUGGUAGGAUUACGUGCCACUUAUAAGCGUUGAAAAUGUGGGAUCCAAAUUGAGAUGCACUGGGUAAACUGCAUACUGGAUUUCCGAGUUCCUGCAAAAAUAAUGCGAAAUAUUCAUUUUUAAAUAAUUACACCCUGAAAUAUUUUGGAUCUGUUGAGAGACUGGAUGUAAUUCGGAGUCCCAGACUGUCGGAGUCGGAACCUACUAGUUGAGGCACCUCAUUUUAAAAAUGAACCGGAGGCCCGCCGAGCUCAGAGACCACCGUGCUAGUGAAUGAAGAGGCGGGACGGGAACCCAGAGCACUGGUUGACCCACUACACCCGGCUGAGGGGUCAGUGAGCAGCACCUGCAAAGAACCUGUGGAAUGUUUUGCUUCUGACUGAGCACUGGAGGCAGCUUGAGGGCUUCGUUGCCCCAGGAGGGCUUAGUUGCUCUCUCCCAGCAGAGCACCAUUCCUAGGUGGCCUUACCCUGCCUCUCCCGGGCAGAUACAAAGCGUGACCUACUGGAGGACACAGCAGGAUUCAGUGGGGAAUAAAACUUUUCUGGGGGAAGUGAAGGAGAAGAAAACAGUGGAAAAGAGUUGGGGGAGUAAAAACAGGUGACCAAGUC